This 352-nucleotide ribosomal RNA is filed under the name uncultured bacterium. Its description in RNAcentral is "bacterial SSU rRNA". It matches the Rfam family "Bacterial small subunit ribosomal RNA", at positions 29 to 406 of the family's 1533-position model. The record is from RNAcentral.
AGCGAACGCUGGCGGCAGGCCUAACACAUGCAAGUCGAGCGGCCGUAGCAAUACGGCAGCGGCAGACGGGAGAGUAGCACGUGGGAACGUACCUUUCAGUUCGGAACAACCCAGGGAAACGUUGGGCGUAAUACCGGAUACGCCCGUAAGGGGAAGAGUUAUCGCUGAAAGAUCGGCCCGCGUCUGAUUAGCUAGUUGGUGAGGUAACGGCUCACCAAGGCGACGAUCAGUAGCNGGUCUGAGAGGAUGAUCAGCCUCAUUGGGACUGAGACACGGCCCAAACUCCUACGGGAGGCAGCAGCGGGAAUAUUGGACAAUGGCGGCAAGCCUGAUCCAGCCAUGCCGCGUGGGU